UGCUCUCUGCGCUUCCGAAAUCUGAAGAAGAGUACGAACACGUUUCACAGUCAAAUGCAUGCGAGCGUUUCUCACAGACCCGUGACCGAAGCAAAUCUCAAAGCUCUAGAAGGAAUAUUGUCAAGCUCCGUCGGCGAGCAAAUAGCAACCGCGACUCCAUUCCCGAUCAGGCAGCAUAUCCUUAGAUGAACGAGUCGGCCGUGAUACACCUCGAUGAGACGCCAUUCCUUUAGCCGGAGAAGACCGCGGUUAGAGGCCACAAUAGUCAAUUCUUUCUUCAUCAUUUGAAUGUGCAUAUAUGUGUUUGUUUUUCUGGAAUUGGUUAUUGUUUGAGAUGUAUGUUCUCGGUUAUCUUGACGUUGUUGGGACUGGUCUGGUGUUAGCCGAAGUGGUGGCCAGCGAAGAGGACUUGGUGACGGUGGGCAACAUUGGAUGUCGACGUGGGACCGUUUGGAGUUCCUCCGUGAGUUCGUUUAAUGAAGUAACAGUGUUGAGCUCGCCGCGUUGGAGAGCUCUCGGUGAAGUCUCGGGAGGGAAGAAUGGCAAAAAGGAAAAUAAAGAAAAAAGGAAAAUAUAAAAAAAGCGGCUGAAUAUGUCGAAUCUGGGUCGGGUCAAACUUAUUAGUGGACCGGGCUAGAAUUAUCAACGGACUAGGCCGGGCCAAACAUUUAAUUUCAAUGUUUGGGCCAUACUCGGGCCAGGCUCUAAGUCUGACCCAAGUUUAGACUCCAACCCGGACUGCUAGGGUCUGUGUCAGACCAUUGGUUGGCACCGAGUUAGCCGAAGUCCAUUUUCUAGAAUUAAAAAAUUAAAAAUGGAAAAUUUC
Long non-coding RNA from Eucalyptus grandis, 826 nucleotides. RefSeq lists it as uncharacterized. The transcript has 2 exons. The record is from RefSeq and is a predicted model, not a curated record. NCBI's taxonomy places the organism in Eukaryota, Viridiplantae, Streptophyta, Magnoliopsida, Myrtales, Myrtaceae.